Molecule: ribosomal RNA, 730 nt
Filed under: Orpinomyces sp. KF6
Lineage: Eukaryota; Fungi; Neocallimastigomycota; Neocallimastigomycetes; Neocallimastigales; Neocallimastigaceae
Description: LSU rRNA
Rfam family: Eukaryotic large subunit ribosomal RNA
Source: RNAcentral
CAACAAGGACUCCCUUAGUAACGGCGAGUGAAGCGGGAAGAGCUCAAAUUUGAAAUCUUCAAGGUUCUACCUUGACGAAUUGUAGUUUAUAGAAGUGUUUUCUGUUAGUGGAGUGGCAAAAGUUCUUUGGAAUAGGACAUCAUAGAGGGUGAGAAUCCCGUAUUUGGUCAUUCCUCCUAGCGUUGUGAUACACUUUCAACGAGUCGGAUUGUUUGGGAAUGCAGUCCAAAAUGGGUGGUAAAUUUCAUCUAAAGCUAAAUAUUGGCGAGAGACCGAUAGCGAACAAGUACCGUGAGGGAAAGAUGAAAAGAACUUUGAAAAGAGAGUUAAACAGUACGUGAAAUUGUCAAAAGGGAAGCGUUUGACACCAGUGUUGUUUUUCCGAAAAUCAAUUACGAAUGUUUUAUUUUUGAGGAGUUAUGACUUCAUCGGCUUGCUCCUUUCUUUAUGAAACUUUCUUAAUGCACUUUUCGGUUAACAAGUCAACAUCAAUUUCUUUUGUUGUAAAAGGGUAUGAGGAAGGUGGCUUUCUUUUCGGAGAAAGUGUUUAUAGCCUUGUGCCUCUGCAAUCGGAGAGAUUGAGGUCUGCAGCGUAGAUCCUUCGGGGUUAGAUACGUUUGUGCUAAGUUAUAGCUUUUCAUAGACAACUUGUUGACUAUGUUUAGUCUUGUAGCUUACUCGCUGUACGCUAUUUUACCUACGCUUAGGAUGUUGACAAAAUGGUUUUGAA